GAUUAUGGCUCAGGAUGAACGCUAGCUACAGGCUUAACACAUGCAAGUCGAGGGGCAGCAUGGUCUUAGCUUGCUAAGAUUGAUGGCGACCGGCGCACGGGUGAGUAACGCGUAUCCAACCUUCCCUAUAGUAGGGGAUAGCCCGUAGAAAUGCGGAUUAAUACCCUAUGUUGUAUUUUGAGGACAUCUGACGAAUACCAAAGGUUCACCGCUAUAGGAUGGGGAUGCGUCUGAUUAGGUAGUCGGCGGGGUAACGGCCCACCGAGCCAACGAUCAGUAGGGGUUCUGAGAGGAAGGUCCCCCACAUUGGAACUGAGACACGGUCCAAACUCCUACGGGAGGCAGCAGUGAGGAAUAUUGGUCAAUGGGCGAGAGCCUGAACCAGCCAAGUAAGCGUGCAGGAUGACGGCCCUAUGGGUUGUAAACUGCUUUUAUGCGGGGAUAAAGUGGGGGACGUGUCCCUUAUUGUAGGUACCGCAUGAAUAAGGACCGGCUAAUUCCGUGCCAGCCGCCGC
This 515-nucleotide ribosomal RNA is filed under the name uncultured bacterium. Its description in RNAcentral is "bacterial SSU rRNA". It matches the Rfam family "Bacterial small subunit ribosomal RNA", at positions 15 to 518 of the family's 1533-position model. The record is from RNAcentral.